RNAcentral lists this ribosomal RNA (247 nucleotides) under uncultured bacterium. RNAcentral describes it as "partial 16S ribosomal RNA". It matches the Rfam family "Bacterial small subunit ribosomal RNA", at positions 523 to 769 of the family's 1533-position model. The record is from RNAcentral.
AUACGUAGGUGGCAAGCGUUGUCCGGAUUUACUGGGUGUAAAGGGCGAGUAGGCGGGACUGCAAGUCAGAUGUGAAAACGAUCGGCUCAACCGAUCGACUGCAUUUGAAACUGCGGUUCUUGAGUGAUGGAGAGGCAGGCGGAAUUCCUAGUGUAGCGGUGAAAUGCGUAGAUAUUAGGAGGAACACCAGUGGCGAAGGCGGCCUGCUGGACAUUAACUGACGCUGAGGCGCGAAAGCGUGGGGAGC